GGCCUCAGCCUUUAAAUGGGCUUGCAAAGACCCAUCAUCCUGCUCUCACUCUUUGCUCCUCUUUUAAACCCUAGCUUAGCUGUCAGUGAGCUCGUUAAGGGGAGCUCGAGAGAAAUUUUCUAUUUUCUGAUUCGGAGUGCGUAUCAGAAUCAGAUAAAGAUGAGACCAAUUUUGAUGAAAGGGCAUGAAAGGCCCUUAACGUUUUUGAAGUAUAACAGAGAAGGUGAUCUCUUGUUCUCCUGCGCCAAAGACCACACUCCCACCGUCUGGUUCGCAGACAACGGCGAGCGUUUGGGUACUUACCGCGGCCACAAUGGCGCCGUUUGGUGCUGCGAUGUUUCAAGAGAUUCGAUGCGCCUUAUUACUGGAAGUGCAGACCAGACAGCAAAGUUGUGGGAUGUUCAAACAGGAACUCAGUUGUAUUCCUUUAACUUUGACUCGCCUGCCAGGGCUGUGGAUUUCUCUGCUGGUGAUAAACUUGCUGUUAUCACUACUGAUCCCUUUAUGGAAUUGCCUUCUGCCAUUCAUGUAAAACGCAUUGCAAGAGAUCCCAGUGACCAGACCGGUGAAUCUGUGCUCAUUCUCAAGGGUCCUCAGGGAAGAAUUAACAGAGCUGUUUGGGGACCCCUGAACAAGACUAUCAUAAGUGCUGGAGAGGAUGCUGUAAUUCGCAUAUGGGAUUCUGAGACAGGGAAGCUUCUGAAAGAGUCAGAUAGAGAAAUUGGGCAUAAGAAGGCAAUAACAUCUCUUACAAAGUCUUCUGAUGGUUCACACUUCAUUACUGGUUCUCUAGAUAAGUCUGCUAAGCUAUGGGACAUCAGAACAUUGACUCUUAUCAAGAGCUAUGUGACAGAACGUCCAGUCAAUGCUGUUACAUUGUCUCCUCUUCUUGAUCAUCCUCCAGCGUUCUUACUGUGGGCAUCCUAUGUUUGCGGACUACUCUUCAUGAUUUUACUAUGCGCAAGGGGGAAAAAAGAAAAGGAAGAAAAAAAUCCUUUUCUUUCAGUGCUUUUCUUGAUCAAGCAUUUAGUCUAGUGGAUGAGGACUAACAUAUAGUGUUAGGGGAAAGGGGCUAAACCUGAUGCCGAUAGGUUGGAGUGCUUUGGCCUAAGGUGUCAAAGGUUGUGCUUGGAGGUGGUCAGCAUGCUUCUGCAGUCACUACCACUGAUCACCGAGCUGGGAAGUUUGAAGCUAAAUUUUAUGACAAGAUUCUUCAAGAAGAAAUUGGAGGUGUAAAAGGUCAUUUUGGACCUAUAAAUGCUUUGGCUUUCAACCCGGAUGGGAAAAGUUUCUCAAGUGGAGGUGAAGAUGGGUACGUGAGGUUGCAUCAUUUUGAUCCAGAUUACUUCAAUGUUAAGAUUUAAAUUGGCAUUUAUGUAUUUGUACCAUAAACGGAAUCAAUUUUGGAGAGAGUGGGAAGGAAUUUUGGUAUAUUUAUCGCAGAGGAGCAUAGUAUAGCAAAAGUACUAGUUUUGAUGCCAAUGAUAACCAUUUUUGUCCUGUUGAAAGAAUUCGAUGCCUUGCAAAUUUUUUUGCAGGCCUUAGUAAAGAACGUAGUUUCCUGUUUCUUUGA
Manihot esculenta (cassava) is the source of this 1573-nucleotide RNA transcript. It is a transcript of the gene named eukaryotic translation initiation factor 3 subunit I, with no coding region annotated. The transcript is spliced from 9 exons. The record is from RefSeq and is a predicted model, not a curated record. Lineage: Eukaryota; Viridiplantae; Streptophyta; Magnoliopsida; Malpighiales; Euphorbiaceae.